Molecule: ribosomal RNA, 497 nt
Filed under: uncultured bacterium
Lineage: Bacteria
Description: partial 16S ribosomal RNA
Rfam family: Bacterial small subunit ribosomal RNA
Source: RNAcentral
GAUGAACGCUGGCGGCGUGCCUAAUACAUGCAAGUCGAGCGAACGGACGAGAAGCUUGCUUCUCUGAUGUUAGCGGCGGACGGGUGAGUAACACGUGGAUAACCUACCUAUAAGACUGGGAUAACUUCGGGAAACCGGAGCUAAUACCGGAUGAUAUUUUGAACCGCAUGGUUCAAAAGUGAAAGACGGUCUUGCUGUCACUUAUAGAUGGAUCCGCGCUGCAUUAGCUAGUUGGUAAGGUAACGGCUUACCAAGGCAACGAUGCAUAGCCGACCUGAGAGGGUGAUCGGCCACACUGGAACUGAGACACGGUCCAGACUCCUACGGGAGGCAGCAGUAGGGAACAUUCCGCAAUGGGCGAAAGCCUGACGGAGCAACGCCGCGUGAGUGAUGAAGGUCUUCGGAUCGUAAAACUCUGUUAUUAGGGAAGAACAUAUGUGUAAGUAACUGUGCACAUCUUGACGGUACCUAAUCAGAAAGCCACGGCUAACUACGUG